AUCGUUCAACUCUUAAUGAGUCGGAAGUAGGCAAAAAUAGCUGAAGGAACGCGGA
Molecule: non-coding RNA, 55 nt
Submitted as: unclassified sequences
Source: Rfam